RNAcentral lists this unclassified non-coding RNA (278 nucleotides) under uncultured fungus. Its description in RNAcentral is "partial contains small subunit ribosomal RNA, internal transcribed spacer 1, and 5.8S ribosomal RNA". The stretch from base 1 to 73 matches the Rfam family "Eukaryotic small subunit ribosomal RNA", at positions 1759 to 1831 of the family's 1831-position model. Lineage: Eukaryota; Fungi. The record is from RNAcentral.
GCAAACUUGGUCAUUUAGAGGAAGUAAAAGUCGUAACAAGGUCUCCGUAGGUGAACCUGCGGAGGGAUCAUUACAAGUAAACCUGUCUCCGGAUGGGCUACUACCAACCCUUUGUUGUCCGACCGCGUUGCCUCCGGGGCGACCCUGACCUCCGGGUCACGGGGGACCCCGGGUGGACACCUAAACUCUGCGUAACUUUGCAGUCUGAGUAAAAGAUUUAAUAAAUCAAAACUUUCAACAACGGAUCUCUUGGUUCUGGCAUCGAUGAAGAACGCAGC